UGGCUUAGUGGUAAAGAAUCUGCCUGCAAUGCAGGAGAUCCAGGUUCAAUCCCUGG
RNAcentral lists this transfer RNA (56 nucleotides) under Bos taurus (domestic cattle). It matches the Rfam family "tRNA", at positions 8 to 63 of the family's 71-position model. From Rfam's summary of the family: Transfer RNA (tRNA) molecules are approximately 80 nucleotides in length. Their secondary structure includes four short double-helical elements and three loops (D, anti-codon, and T loops). Lineage: Eukaryota; Metazoa; Chordata; Mammalia; Artiodactyla; Bovidae. RNAcentral also lists the same sequence under 5 other names. The record is from Rfam by way of RNAcentral.